GGCAACCCUCUGGGGUCCCCUUGCACGCUGUGGAAGCUUUAUUGUUUCACUCUUUGCAAUAAAUCUUGCUGCUGCUCACUCUUUGGGUCCACACUGCCUUUAUGAGCUGUAACACUCACGAUGAAGUUCUGCAGCUUCACUCCUGAAGCCAGCGACACCACAAACCCACCAGGAGGAAGGAACAACUCCAGAUGCACCUCCUUAAGAGCUGUGACACUCACCGCGAAGGUCCGCAGCUUCACUCCUGAGCCGGCGAGACCACGAACCCCACCAGAAGGAAGAAACUCUGAACACCUCCGAACAUCAGAAGGAACAAACUCUGGACACGCUGCCUUUAGGAACUGUAACACUCACCGCGAGGGUCCCCGGCUUCAUUCUUGAAGUCAGUGAGACCAAAAUCCCACCAAUUCUGGACACACUAGGAAGACUGAGACCCAAUUGGACCAUCAAAGAACGACCCAAUCACCAGCACAAAGCUAAUAAACUUGUAAGCUUUCAAUACAAAUAACGUUGGAACAUAGCUAGGAAGACUUCAGGAGACAGAUUCUCUUUGCAGAGUCUCUGGGAGCCUUUCUCUCUACCAUGUGGAUGCCUGCAGAAGCCUGCACAGUCAUUCUGCCACAUGCACUGUGGAUACACAGCUGAUUUACAGCUGGGCUGAAAAAGCCUCAUCUCUGUUUCUGGGGAUUCCAGGAUAUCCUGUUUUUGACUCUUAGCUAAGACGGAAAAAGUGAUGCUCACGCCAGAGAAGAGUCAGCCCAAGGUCAUCUAGGAUCAGUGGCACACCUAGGAUUCAGGCCCAAGGACCCCCAGCUGACCUGCCUUCCCUGGAACCUCACUGUGAGUUCUUUAACCAUGGCUGUGUUUUCAAAGUUGAACUGGGGCUGCUGUUGAUACCACCUUUAAAUGCCUGCUUUUGUCAUGGAGACCAUGAGAACUUCACUCUUCAGCUGGCAAUUUACCUGGCUGCACAGUGCUCAGGCACACACAGGCUUCAGGGCUACAAGGUAAAGGAUUUGCCAAGGCCAAGUGCUGAAACCCACUUCUUGUUUUGAAGCAAAUGAGAACUUCCACCUGUAUUUGACCUGGGUAUGUAUAUUAAUUAGUUUGGCAACUGAGAUUUUUUUCUUGAUGAUCAAAAGUCCUAACUGGCAGUUAAAUAUGUCUUUUUUUUUUUUUUUUUUGAGACAGAGUUUCCCUCUUGUCACUCAGACUGGAGUGCAAUGGCACAAUCGAGGCUCACUGCAACCUCUUUCUCCCCAGUUCAAGCAAUUCUCCUGUUUCAGCCUCCCAAGUAGCUGGGAUCACAGGUGUCUGCCACCACACCUGGCUAAUUUUGUAUUUUUUAGUAGAGACAGGUUUUCACCAUGUUGGCUAGAUUGGUCCUGAACUCCUGACCUCAGGUAAUCCACCCGCCUCGGCCUCCCAAAGUUCUGGGAUUACAGGUGUGAGCCGCUGCCCCUGGUCAAAUAUGUCUUUUUAAAAAAAUAAUAAUAAUGACUUUUAAAUACAAGUGACCUGAGUAUGCAAAGUAUUUCUAGACUCAGGGUUCUUAAAGUGAGGAAAAAUUAGCAAAAGCAUUAUUUGACAGCCCCUAGAAUAGGCCAAAUAUGAAAUAACUAACAAAUUGCAGAUAGUAGUGUGCUCUACAAAGAAAAAGAGAGCAAGACAAUGGAUUACAGAAAAGAUGAAGUUUAUUUUAGAUGGAGUAUUAAGUGACAGAUUCUAUGAGGAGGUGAAAAUUGACCAGACAACUGAAAGAAGUAAAACAGCCAUACUAGUAUCUCAGGAAAAAUUAUCGCAGGAAAAAAAGAGGAAAAAUAAAAUGACUCUAUGUCGGAGGGAGUUUGGGCUGGCAUGGUGGCUCAUGCCUUUAAUCCCAGCACUUUGGGAGGGCGAGGUGGGUGGAUCACUUGAGGUCAGGAGUUCGAGACCAGCCUGCUGAACAUAGUGAAACCCGUCUCUACUAAAAAUACAAAAAUUAGCCUGGUGUGGUGGUGGGUGCCUGCAAUCUCAGCUACUCAGGAGGCUGAAGCAGGAGAAUUGCUGGAACCUGGGAGGUGGAGGUUGCAGUGAGCCUAGAUCAUGCCACUGCACUCCAGCCUGGGUGACAGAGUGAGACUCCACAAAAAAAAAAAAAAAAGGGGGGGGUGGGUGGGGAGGAGGGUUUGGCAUGUUUAAUGGAAAAGGUCUGUGUGUGACCAGAAUAGAUGGAAUGCAGAGAAGCAAAAUAUAGAUUUUAAUUUCCAUGGUUCUUUACUGAAGAGUGUUUCUUAUUUAAGUAACAACGCUAUGAUUAAAUUGAUUGUGAAAGAAUUACAAAUCUAGAAUUUAUUGCAUGAUCAGAUAGGAGAACAGAUUUGAUUUGCUAACUCUGUAUAAUAUACUACAGUGUAAGCCACCCUCUAUUACUUUAGCAAAAGAUGUUUUUUUCAUUUUCCUGCAAGUAUAUUUUUUCUCUAAAACCUUAAUUAGCAUUUUUUAAUAUUGCUGAAAGAUGGGGAUAUAAGUUCCAUUUAUUUCUUGAAACUGAAUAUAAUUAUCAAAUAUUGAAAAAUAAUAAUGGGCAUCAUUAUAAUUACUGUUAAGUAGUUUUCCUGUGUAGAGAGAAUUAUAAAAAUAUCCUUCAUUAUCUUUCAUGGAUAAAUGAUGUUUUUCUCAUGAGCCAGAGAAAAAUUAUCACAAUGUCUGCCCAGGUGUUUCUGUUAUGCUUACAGAAGUGAGUAGUGCUAUUUGCAGACACUGUACUUUCUCUCUUUUUCAUAUGAGUACAUUAAUCAAUUGUGGAGUUGUGGCAUCUGCUGUAAAACAAUUUGUUUUUCCAUUAUUUGAUGGCUACACUUUUUCUUUUAGUUUUUUUCUCUUCUUAUUGAAUCACAUUUUCUUUCCUCUUCUUUUAAAAAUAUUGCUGUAUUGAUUUACAAAAAAUAUAUAUUUUAUUGCCUCAUUUUAAUUUUUGGUAAUCCAUGUACUGCUUUAUUAAGGCCUAUAUAACUCAUAAUCCAACUCAUCGAUUAAAAGUUCAGGAAACCAAAGAGAUGGCUUUUUCUCCAAUUGAAGAUAUCAUAAUGAUAAUUUUGGGGGCUGGUGAAAACUGAGAUUGUCAGAAGGCUAAUUUUUUCUUAGAUGUCAUUUUUGUUGGUCACAAACUAGAGAUGAAGCUCUCUACAGGCAAGUAUAGAACCAUCUCUCUGUGCAACAAUUUGUAUUUUCAGACCACUUUUAGUCUUUGGGGGUAGAUACAAUUACUUAGAAAAAUCUUCAAUGUCUCUUUGGAAAACAGUUGAUCUCGAACUCAGUUCUAAAGCUGAGUCAGCAUCACAGGAUUUCAGAUUCUUGAAUGUUAUUUUUGUUGUCUUUCUCUUACUAAAUUGUUAUCACUGAAUAUUUCUCCUUUGUUUUACUCCAUUUGGACUGCUAUAACAAAAUACCAUAGACUGAGUAGCUUAUAAUACAGAAUUCACAUCUCACAGUUCUGAGGCUGGGAAGUUCAGCAUCAAGGUGCCAGCAGGUUCAGUGUCUUGUGAGGGCCUGUUUUCGGUUUCAUGGAGGGCCCCUUCUCACUGCAUCUUUACGUGGUACAAGUGGCAAGUCAGCUCUCUGGGGCCUCUUUUAUAAGAACACUUAUAGGAAUAUUGAAUUAGUGAACGAGCUCUGUUCUCGUGAAUUAAUCAUCUCCCAAAAGGCCCUAUCUCCUAACCCAUUUAUGCUGGAGGUUGCAAUUUUUGUGUGUGAAAAAUCAGACCUUGGCAAUGACCUUGAGCAGUAGGAUAUAAAUAACUCCCACAAGCUUAGCAUUCCAAUAAGGGAACACUAGGCAUAAAUGGGCUUAAUACCCUCAUCUUAGGGGAAAGGAUUUCAAUAUGUGAAUUUUGUGAAACACAAACAUUCAGACGGCAGCAUCUUUGCUUUCUUAAAAAGUUAAAUGAAACAAGUUCCCAAAUUUAAACAAGCAGAAAUAUGUAUACAGAUAAGGGUAGAGGAAUAGUUUAAAAUUAUUUUAAUUAGAUAUUUGAAGUCCUCAGUACGCUACAUUUAUAAAAAAGAAAUGGUAUAUGUGACAGGGAGCAAAAUAAAACCCUGUGUCAUAAAAAGAAUCCACUAUCAAUUAUUUAAAAAGAUCUUAGCAAGGAAAUAUCAGCUUCGAUAUUACAAACUUUUCAGAUGUGAAAAAUGAUUUAUUUUCAAAUAUAGUUCAAAUGAAGUUUUGCCUUAACAAAAUGGCUUUUCUAAAGGCCACCUUUAGAUCAAAAUACUUAAUCUAACUUGUGCCACUUCUUGGUAACCCUUGGUAACCCCUAAAUUGUUUUCUCUAUUUUCUCCAACUACUCUACUAAAAAGUUUCUUCCUAUUUCUCCACAUGGCUUCAAAAAAGGGAACAUAAAAGAGAAAUACCAGUCAGUGAUAAUCAUGUGGAAAAAAAUAAUAAUGUGAAGCAAUUUUUGUUUGUUUGUUUGUUUGUUUGUUUUCUCUCGAGGUCAUGAUCUGGUACUUUUUUACAGCAAACUCAUACUUAACAAAUUUUAAAGAUUUUUUAAAGAAUGAACUAAUGAAUUGGGUUAGUAAGGGUGGUUGCCUUGUCUUGCUCAUUGCAAGAAUGAAAGCUGUAUAAGUUGAAUGAAAAUAUAAAUAUGACUUUGAAGCUCCUUUGUAAUGGUGGGGUUUCCCAGAAGUCAAGUUUCCUCAGUGGUGACAUAAAUCUACUGUGUGAGAAGCAUCUACCUGGACCAACCUACAAAUCAGCCCCCUGGGGAAGUGCUUCCUGCUGUGAGAAAUAAAUCCAGGAAUUCUGGGUCUUCUGUCUGCAUCUAUGAACCUGUGCAGGCUAAUUUCUUAGUUUCCAAGUAGAGUAAAAUCUCAGAACCCACAGUUUCUGAUAAUACAUACCCAUAUAUUUUCUAAAUUUUUCUGUUGAGAUGACCUA
This 4924-nucleotide long non-coding RNA is filed under the name Homo sapiens (human). RNAcentral's name for it is "HSALNT0315881". The stretch from base 4218 to 4263 matches the Rfam family "Histone 3' UTR stem-loop". The record is from RNAcentral. Lineage: Eukaryota; Metazoa; Chordata; Mammalia; Primates; Hominidae.